This 453-nucleotide ribosomal RNA is filed under the name uncultured Porphyromonadaceae bacterium. Its description in RNAcentral is "partial 16S ribosomal RNA". It matches the Rfam family "Bacterial small subunit ribosomal RNA", at positions 341 to 792 of the family's 1533-position model. Lineage: Bacteria; Pseudomonadati; Bacteroidota; Bacteroidia; Bacteroidales; Porphyromonadaceae. The record is from RNAcentral.
ACGGAAGGCAGCAGUGAGGAAUAUUGGUCAAUGGGCGGAAGCCUGAACCAGCCAAGUCGCGUGAAGGAUGAAGGUAUUAUGUAUUGUAAACUUCUUUAGCCAGGGGGCAAUAAGGCGUACGCGUACGCCGAUGAGAGUACCUGGAGAAUAAGGAUCGGCUAACUCCGUGCCAGCAGCCGCGGUAAUACGGAGGAUCCGAGCGUUAUCCGGAUUUAUUGGGUUUAAAGGGUGCGCAGGCGGCUUUUUAAGUCAGUGGUUAAAUCGUGACGCUCAACGUCAUCACGCCAUUGAUACUGGAGAGCUUGAUUGCGGUCGAGGUUUGCGGAAUUCGUCGUGUAGCGGUGAAAUGCAUAGAUAUGACGAAGAACUCCGAUUGCGUAGGCAGCUGACCAAGCCGUAAAUGACGCUCAUGCACGAAAGUGCGGGGAUCGAACAGGAUUAGAUACCCUGGUA